Molecule: ribosomal RNA, 278 nt
Filed under: Hyphomicrobium sp.
Lineage: Bacteria; Pseudomonadati; Pseudomonadota; Alphaproteobacteria; Hyphomicrobiales; Hyphomicrobiaceae
Description: partial 16S ribosomal RNA
Rfam family: Bacterial small subunit ribosomal RNA
Source: RNAcentral
UUUCAACUUGAGAGUUUGAUCCUGGCUCAGAACGAACGCUGGCGGCAGGCCUAACACAUGCAAGUCGAACGCCCUAGCAAUAGGGAGUGGCAGACGGGUGAGUAACACGUGGGAACCUUCCCUAUAGUACGGAAUAGCCCAGGGAAACUUGGAGUAAUACCGUAUACGCCCGUAAGGGGAAAGAUUUAUCGCUAUAGGAUGGGCCCGCGUAGGAUUAGCUAGUUGGUGAGGUAAUGGCUCACCAAGGCGACGAUCCUUAGCUGGUCUGAGAGGACGAC